CACGUAGGGCGCAAGCGUUGUCCGGAAUUAUUGGGCGUAAAGAGCUCGUAGGCGGUCUGUUGCGUCCGCUGUGAAAACUCGGGGCUUAACCCCGAGCCUGCAGUGGAUACGGGCAGACUAGAGGUAGGUAGGGGAGAAUGGAAUUCCCGGUGUAGCGGUGAAAUGCGCAGAUAUCGGGAGGAACACCGGUGGCGAAAGCGGCUCACUGGAUCUCUUCUGACGCUGAGGCACGAAAGCUAGGGUAGCAAACGGG
Molecule: ribosomal RNA, 253 nt
Filed under: uncultured bacterium
Lineage: Bacteria
Description: partial 16S ribosomal RNA
Rfam family: Bacterial small subunit ribosomal RNA
Source: RNAcentral